GUCUAUGGCUAUGCUACCCUGAACAUGCCCAAUCUUGUCUGAUCUCAGAAGCUAAGCAGGGUCGGGCCUGGUUACUACUUGGAUGGGAAACCACCUAGGAAUACGAGGUGCUGUAAGCU
This 119-nucleotide ribosomal RNA is filed under the name Pteropus alecto (black flying fox). The record is from RNAcentral. Lineage: Eukaryota; Metazoa; Chordata; Mammalia; Chiroptera; Pteropodidae.